UACGAAGGGGGCUAGCGUUGCUCGGAAUCACUGGGCGUAAAGGGUGCGUAGGCGGGUCUUUAAGUCAGGGGUGAAAUCCUGGAGCUCAACUCCAGAACUGCCUUUGAUACUGAGGAUCUUGAGUUCGGGAGAGGUGAGUGGAAUUCCCAGUGUAGAGGUGAAAUUCGUAGAUAUUGGGAAGAACACCGGUGGCGAAGGCGGCUCACUGGCUCGUAACUGACGCUCAGGCGCGACAGCGUGGGGAUCAAACAGG
RNAcentral lists this ribosomal RNA (253 nucleotides) under uncultured bacterium. Its description in RNAcentral is "partial 16S ribosomal RNA". It matches the Rfam family "Bacterial small subunit ribosomal RNA", at positions 524 to 776 of the family's 1533-position model. The record is from RNAcentral.